Molecule: long non-coding RNA, 1659 nt
Filed under: Macaca fascicularis (crab-eating macaque)
Lineage: Eukaryota; Metazoa; Chordata; Mammalia; Primates; Cercopithecidae
Description: lncRNA (ENSMFAG00000064425.1)
Source: RNAcentral
GGUUGCGGUGAGCCACUGAGUAACCACUGCCCUCCCGCCUGGGUGACAGAGCAAGGCUCUGUCUCAAAAAACAAAACAAAACAAAAAAAGUCCCAGCAAAAGCCUGCUUUCUAGCCAAAGCAGCCGGGAAGGGGCAUCCUGGUAUGAUAGAAGGCAUUAGGCAACUGCCACUCUAUUCCCUCAAGAGGCUGUGCUGAGGUACGCCAAAAGGUACGCCAACACCCCUGCUGGGGUAGCCUCAGAAGAGGUUAAGUAGGGAGCUGGGCCUCCAUGUGAGCAGGCCAGUGACAAGGCCCCACCUGGGGCACCACUGGAGACCAGGAACUCCCACCCAGCCCAGCACUAAUCGGGGCCCUGCCUCGGGUGUCAGCAGAGGCCUUGCAGGGAGCCUGGGCUUCCACCUCCACCCACAAUGGGCGGCACCCACCCUUCCCCUGCAGGGCCAUGUCAGGGAAGGACGGCUAAAACAGAAGGGCACUAAGAAGAUGUCAAGAGGACAAAGACUGACAAUCUGAUAGGGAAUGGGCAAAAUACAAGCAUAGAAAAGAGGAUAAGAAUCGUGCUACCUUCUUAAGCUGCUUCCAUGAUCAAUGAUCUGUACCUAAAAUCAUUUUCACCUAUGGUAAAUAGCAAGCAAGAGGUGGGAUUCUUACUACUGCUUCACAGGAUGUGACACACAUACGCUCUAAACACAUGGAAAGAUCCUCAGUGUCGUUAGUAAGCAGAGAAACUCUCAUGGUUUGGAUUGACCAUAAAGAGACAAUCAUUCAUAGGCCAUUUACACACUAGAUGGUCAUGAGAGUAAGAAGUUCACCACAUCAAGUGCUGGAGAGGAUGUGGAGCAACAGGAAGUCUUUUCAUUGCAAGUGGGAGUGUGAGUUAGGACAUGUGGAGAACAUUUUGGAAUUAUAUUGAAAAGUUGAACAUUCACACAGUUGAUGAUCCAGCAAUGCCACUUCUGGGCAUAAACCCCUAAUGAAACCCUCACACACAUCAAUAGAUGUGCACAAAUGUUCCCAGCAGCACUGUUUACUGUUCACAGUAACAAAAAGCUGUAAAUACCCGAAGUCCAUCAUCACGCUAAUACGUCCUCAACUGCAGUACACGCUGCCCGCAGUGUGACAGCACGGCACCAAGAGUGAACGGGUGACAGCUCCCAACCCCCGCCAGCACGGGCCAUCCCCACACGCCCGCAAUGUGACAGCACGGCACCAAGAGUGAACAGGUGACAGCUCCUGACCCCCACCAGCACGGGCCAACCCCACACACAAUGCCAGUCACAGAAGAGCACAGUCAGGAACGUUAGAAAAACCCGAAACAAUGAGCUUUCUAUUUUACAAAAAGGAGGGACAGUGGGGGAAAGAUAAAUUCUUUAAAAAUGUCAACGCUGACCAGACACAGUGGCUCACGCCUGUCAUCCCAGCACUUUGGGAGGCCGAGGUGGGUAGAUCACCUGAGGUCAGAGUUCAAGACCAUCCUGGCCAAUGUGGUGAAACUCCAUGUCUACUAAAAAUACAAAAAUUAGCCAAGCGUGGUGGCUGAGAUAGGAGAAUCACUUGAACUUGGGAGGCAGAGGUUCAAGUGAGCCGAGACUGCACCACUGCACUCCAGCCUGGGCAGCGAAGAGACCCUGUCUCCAAAAAAAAAAAAAAAAAAAAA